UACGUAGGGUGCGAGCGUUGUCCGGAAUUACUGGGCGUAAAGAGCUCGUAGGUGGUUUGUCGCGUUGUUCGUGAAAACUCACAGCUUAACUGUGGGCGUGCGGGCGAUACGGGCAGACUGGAGUACUGCAGGGGAGACUGGAAUUCCCAGUGUAGCGGUGAAAUGCGUAGAUAUUGGGAGGAACACCGGUGGCGAAGGCGGCUACCUGGACCGGUACUGACGCUGAGGCGCGAAAGCUAGGGUAGCAAACAGG
Molecule: ribosomal RNA, 253 nt
Filed under: uncultured bacterium
Lineage: Bacteria
Description: partial 16S ribosomal RNA
Rfam family: Bacterial small subunit ribosomal RNA
Source: RNAcentral